CGGGAGCUGUUCCCUGUUCUGCCAGGAAGUGGUCAGUUUUGCUUCAGUAGACUCUUCUGCCAUGACAUUUGUGUCCGGAAGGCUGGACUGAAACCUCUGAAAUCAUGAGCAAAAGUCAAUCUCUCCUUCUGUAAAUCAUGUGGGUCCAAUCUUUGGUCCCAGUGGUGAAAAGCUGACGCAGCCCCUUUCUUCCUUGCCAUUUCAGAAUGCAAGCAAGGGGGUGACCGGGAACUGUGGCUGCAGCCACCACCUGGGGUGGCAGGAGGGGAUCGGACCACAUGAUCGGACCCUCGAAGACCCAGACUCAAAAUUCAAAGCGCAGUUUCUGUUGACCAAGUGACUAACUCGGAAGUUUGAUGCUGUGUGAGGAGAGAUCUCUCCAAAUCGGUUCCCGUUUGGUAUAAGAGGGGCUGAGUCCAGGGAAGCAUGAUCCAGACUCUUCUCAGCGUAUACAGAAAGGAGCCCUGAUGCUGGGCUCAGAAAGGGGAAGCAAGGAUGAGGAAGAGAUUAGGCCUGCAGGCUCCAGGUUUCCUGCCCUGGCCUUGGGCCUGGAAGACCAGAGGAUCAUUAGAGAUCUCGCCCAUCAGCGCUGUCUGUCACACAGGCCCGCCUCCCAAUACACGCGCUGCUUUCCUGUGUCCCAGAGAACUCCUGAGCACACACAGAGAAGGUUCUCAAGAAAGAGAUGGCUGAUCUGGGACAACGUUAGCUGGAGAUUCUGCUCAGGCUGGCUCUGCAGAAAGCUGAGUAAAAGAACACAGUGGCACCCUGGUCCAUGAACUUAAUUUGUUCUGUGAUUUUUGAAAAGAUGGCCACAUUCGUGUUCAUGCAGGAAAGAUGCCUGCGGUCAUGUUUGUCACCCAAUGCAGAGUUUGCAAACAAAAACAAAAUUUCACCAAACACUUCUGUUUGCAAACCAAAUUGUUU
RNAcentral lists this long non-coding RNA (927 nucleotides) under Heterocephalus glaber (naked mole-rat). RNAcentral describes it as "lncRNA (ENSHGLG00000034297.1)". Lineage: Eukaryota; Metazoa; Chordata; Mammalia; Rodentia; Bathyergidae. The record is from RNAcentral.